CCCGUGUCUGUCUACAGGUACCCCACAGGUGUUGCGGCGCACCCACACAGUGACUAGCACUCAGCAGUGAAAAGUGAAGGGUUGACAGACGGCACCACCCGGAUGAAUUUCAAAAUCAUUACACUGAGUGAAAGAGGCCAGACAAGAAAGUGCAUAUUGCAGGAUUCCAUUUACACAGAAUUCUAGAAAACGCAAACUAAAGUACAGUGACAGAAAGCAGAGCAGUAGCUGUGGGGAUGGGGGCAGGGAGAGGCAGGAACAAGGGCGUACUGGGGGACACGGUAACUUCCGGGGGCGAUGACAUCUAUGUGGACUGUCUUAUCGUGGUGAGGGUCUCACAGGUGUUCACACGUCAACACCCAUCCGCCUGCACGCCCGCACCACACGCGGCUCCUUGUGUGCCAGUGCCACCUCUAUGAGGCUGUCAAAGAAAGGGGGAGAAUCAGCAGCCGUGGCACGUGGCAAGUCCCCAGAAUGUCGAUUGAGGCCACUCAUGUCAAAGCCUCGUGGGUGGUGGGCUGCUGCUAUCCACACGCACGUGUCAACACCUGACAAGUAUGAGAACCAUCCAGAUGACCUCAGUGUGUAUACCUGGCGGACAUCCAUGUGUAAAUGUACACACUCUAGCAGUUACAUAAUUUACCUUAACUUCCCCUCCUCAAUCCUAGAACAAUUCUCUCAUGUUGAAAGAAAUUGCUCCUCAUCAGCAACCACCUGGAGCUGGGCGUCCCAGGCCCUCUGCACUCUGCUUCUAAUGCCCGUGCAGACGCAGCCAGGGCAGCCAGAAGUGAGAGCGGCCAUCAGAGAUGGAGGACAGUGGAAAGGGCCAGGGGCCCCGAGCAUGGCUGGGGGACGAGGCAGACAGAGAGGAGACUGAGGCACCUGUGGCCACAAGGUGGCAAGGCCAGGGGGAGGGGCUUCUGGGCCAACAGACAGAUGGGGGUCCACGCUGGAGUUCCUCUGCAGAGGGAGGCCAAGAAGUGACCAAUGGAAGGAAGGGUGAAGGCGGAGCUGCCUUCUGUACAGCGCCACAUGGGGCUGGAAAGGGCACCCACACCAAUGGGCGCUGCCAUUUGCCUGAAGAACAGCAACAGAAACAACUGGAAGCAAGACACAGCUGUGUUUCUCAGGGGUCUGAUGUGGCGCUCUGCCCUUCCUGGUCUCAGAGUCACAGCGUCCAACCGGCCUCCGGUGACUGCCCUUGAUCCCUGUGCAGCUCGCCCUCGAGGGUUUCUGCCUUACCUUCGCUGGGGGCCGAGGGAUGCCCAAACACGGUCUCUCAGCUUCCCCCCAAUGCCACGCUCACAGCCUUUCCUGAGGCCGUGAACCCAAGUGCUGUCCAUUACUUUCAGCCAUCAGCGCAGGCCAUCUCCACUAGCGGGCUCCUUUCAAGGCCAACACCCUUCGACCGUCCUUAUUUGUCUGUACCUGAAGGAAAUGAAUGCAGUCAGGACAGUUCACCAGUUACAUGCAGAUACUACCAUAGCGUUUACAUGGUUCUUGAAAAGUCUCCAAAGUUUCAAAGGACAAACGCUCCAAGGGCCCAGCUGUGCUGUGGGCUGACCCAGCGUCCUGCAGGCUCGUCUCUGAAGCAGAAGGCCGGCACAGAGGUGCAGAGGGGCUGCCGUCCAGGGCAGUUCCUGGGGAGGACGUCCCCAAGAGUCCCCAUGUCAGUCGUCUGUCAGAAAGCAAGUGUGGGCCAUCAUCGCAGUUCCCCACGCAGCCAGAGUGUGGGGGCCCAAUCCCGGGGCCGUGCAGAAGGAGGAACAUAAGCAUUGUCUCCAGCCGCCCUCUGACCUGUAUUCUGCGCAAUACCCGUUCAGUUCCUGGGCAUCCCUGCCCUCCACAUCUGAAGGGAAAUGGCGCUCAUAACCGCCUUGCUGCGGAGCGUUUCCGAAGAGGAGCGAGAGUGGACUGGGACCCAAGACCCGACAAACCAGAAGAUUCAUCGCUACUCAAACUGUCACUUGUCUGUGUAAGCAUCUGGAGACCCUGGAGCUUUCCAGGGCAUUCCAAAACCAGAUUGCAAGUGCUCAGCACCUCUCCCGGCAAAGCCCCUUGCUGCUGAAAACAUCUGUACGCCUCCCCGCCCCCGGGCAUCUUUGGGUCCCAAGGUGAAAACAGGAGCUCAGGGUAAAACUGACUUAGCUUAUUCAGUAGAACCAACAGGAGGACAUUAUACUGGGGAGGUGCACCCCUUCUUUAGUAAAGAAGAUUUAUUAAAGGUUCCUGACAGGCCUGUCAGAGCGAAAUCGCUCACUUACUGGAGUGAUGGAAGUGGACAUCAGAGUGCACGGAUCUGUGCUCCUCCCAGUUUCCAUCAUGUGGCACUUGGUGCCCCAAUUCCGGUUGGGCCACGGUCGGACAAAAUGAGAGCAGAGCCCAAGCGCAUGGCCUCCUGCCACUGUCUCCUGCCCUCCAUGAGGAUAGGUA
RNAcentral lists this long non-coding RNA (2433 nucleotides) under Equus asinus (donkey). Its description in RNAcentral is "lncRNA (ENSEASG00005029385.1)". The record is from RNAcentral. Lineage: Eukaryota; Metazoa; Chordata; Mammalia; Perissodactyla; Equidae.